Molecule: long non-coding RNA, 2532 nt
Organism: Ctenopharyngodon idella (grass carp)
Lineage: Eukaryota; Metazoa; Chordata; Actinopteri; Cypriniformes; Xenocyprididae
Exons: 3
Source: RefSeq, a predicted model, not a curated record
AAUUCGUACCCGAGCUUUUCACAUCACAAGUACAAUUCUGUACCAGCUGAGCUACUGAGCAAGCUUGUUACACCAGUAAAACAUCUGGAGCUAGGAAGCAGAGGUCAACAGCAGGAGGAAUCAUCUGCUGAUCAUCUGGGAUGCAAAAUUGCCGGGCCCCUGUUUUCCCCUGCUUUUGAAACAUUUCUGCAACAGAACACAAAUGUCAAGAGACCAAGGAGGAUGUUUUCCAUCAGCUGGGACCCAAAUAUUGUAAUAUACAUGAAGGUAGACACCAUUAGGAUGUGAUUUGAGACCACAGAAGUAAUAAUGAUCCAUGUCCAUGGAGACAAUUCAAAGGAUAUUCAUUAUCCUUAUCCUGCCUGCAAGGAUUCCAUCAGCAGAGGAUGUCAAUGUAUCUACAGCUAGCUACAUUCUGCACAAGUGUGUUUGGAGGUCAGGGUGGUACGGUGGCUUAGUGGGUACCACUGUUUCCUCACUGCAAGAAUGUCCCAGGUGAGCCAGGAGGCCUGUCUGUGUGCAUGAUUUGUGUGUGGGUGCUCUGAUUUUCCCCACAGUCCAAAAAUAUGCAGCAAGGGUGAAUUGGAGACAUUGGGUAAAUUGUUGGUGUGAAUAUGUGUUUAUGAACCCUGUGAUGGACUGGCUAUCUGUCUAGGGUGUUUCCCCUGCCUGUGGUCUGAGACGUCCCCAGCGGAGGACAAGAAGUUUGGGGAACUAAUGGAUGUGAUAAGCUUUUUGACUAUUUAGGGAAUACACAUGUUUGGCUGGUGGACAGUAGUUUAAAACAGGCUAUAGUCUGCAUGGUAUGACCAGUCUAUGUCAGGCAAGCCUGCUUUAGACCUGAAAUCCAGCAAACCUGAAAAAUUCAAAAUUCAUCCAGCCCCCUACAGUUCCCCUCUGGGCUUUAUGUGUCAUUGAUUUUAGUACUGAAGCCAUGUGAUCUUCACAAAUCUUGUCAAAACACAUUUUCAUUCAUCAAGCUCUGAUUUGGGGAACUUGACACUGGCAAAUGAUGUGAAAUAAAUGGAAAUGAAAUCAUGCCCAUAGAAUUGCUGUACAUUUAACUUUGUCUAUAAAGUGACAAAAUAACAAAUUCAGAUUGCAUGCACAAAAAUAAAAGCAAAUUUGAGCUGAUGCUAGAUGGAGAUAGAGAUGCCAAAUUUUCUAUGGUUUAAGUUGAGAGUGUCCUUAAGGAGUGUGCCUUUUUACGGGCUGCCAUAGACUCCAGGUCAGAAGCAAUGACCGAUUAUUAAACGCUUACAAAAAUUAUUAAUAUCUGCAAAACCUUCUGAGGCUUAUCCAAAGGGACUAGCAUUAUGGUUUUUGAGUGUGUGGUAUUUGAUUUAAUUUUAGUUGAACUGAAACCAGUUUGUCUUGUCAGAGAUGGCAAAAUUAUGCUUCUUUCUAUGCAGAUCUCAGCAAAACAGUGUUUCUUUCUUUUCAAAGUAACAGCACAGGUAAUGUGUUGAAAUACUGUAGCUGUUGAUGGAAGGUCCCUGUAAUGGAAAGUGCCAGUUAAGGGCAGCAAGAGAUCAAUGUUUUAUGGUCAGUAAAGGUGACAGAAUGCCCCUGAGAUCUUUCUCCAGCUCCCGGGAAGUCUAUGAACACGGACAUUUCCUGUCCGGCUCUUUUUUUAACAGUCCAUGUCUCAAGACAUUCCAUAUCACAUCCCUCAUCCCACGCAAGCUCUCUAACUCCACCACCCUCAACACUUGAUUCACUGCCAAAGCAAACACUUGUCCAUGGGCGGCCAUGAGUUUGUUCCUAUGGCAACAGCAUGAGGGUCGAAGCUCUGGAGUUGAAGAUUCAGAUCAGCAAAAUAAACAAAAGGCCUGAUUCAGAAGAACCUAAGAGCUUUAGAUAUAGAAACAGCUUUCUGCAAGACACCCCACAUUUGGACAAAUUCUGCUUUCACUGAACUUAUCGCAUCAAAUAAGUGCAGUGAUAUUAACACAUCCUGUCAAUCAAGAAGUUAGAGGAACAAAGACACUGUGUAGUAUGUGUGAUUACCUCAGUGGACUGUUAAGACCAUCUUGGCGCCUCUAACAAAAAUAUACACUUUUCACAAAAAUAAUAUGCCCCGUAAAAGAUGGCCAUAAAUAGCUAUUUUAGUAAUGAGACAACCUCAUCACAAUUUCCAAAUUAUUUUAAUUUAUACAGUUGUGAUGUACAUAUGUUCUCUGUAUAAGAUGCAGGUCAUGCAGACAGACUCUUAUUGGACAUUGUUGCUAUGAUGUAUUUAUUAAAAUAUACAUUAGUUAUUAAAGUUGUAAUGCUGUAAUGUUUGCAUUUUGUCAACCAAGUUUAAAAAGGUUGUGACAUGAGAAAUCAAAUUUUCUUUGAUCUAUUGACAUAAAAGGUCUUUUUUUUACUUUAGAACAUCCUGCAAGUUUCAUAGAUUAAAAUGUCCUCCUCACUAUUAAAAAAGCAUUUAUGUAAUCACGUUCCAAAAAUGGUUCUUUUGGAAAUUGAGGGAUUCGUGACGUCACACGUUCGAAUACAUUUGGGUUGUUGACGUGACAUGGCAUUUUC